AGGAUUUCAUUUCCGGGUGGCGCGGGCGCCAUUUUGUGAGGAGCGAUAUAAACGGGCGCUGGGGCCGGCCACCCGCUCAGUUGUUGCUCAGGUGCGCUCGCUGGCGGAGCUUGUCUGCCCUGUUUUCCUGCAAGGCCUUUCCCAGCGUCCCCACGCGGAAAGCAACUGCCUAAGAGGCGCGGCGUCGCACCGCCCAGAGCUGAGGAAGUCGGCGCCAGUUCGUGGGGCUCCGGGCCGCCAGUCAGAGCCAUGAGCUACGGUCGCCCCCCUCCCGAUGUGGAGGGUAUGACCUCCCUCAAGGUGGACAACCUGACCUACCGCACCUCGCCCGACACGCUGAGGCGCGUCUUCGAGAAGUACGGGCGCGUUGGCGACGUGUACAUCCCGCGGGACCGCUACACCAAGGAGUCCCGCGGCUUCGCCUUCGUCCGCUUCCACGACAAGCGGGACGCCGAGGACGCUAUGGAUGCCAUGGACGGAGCCGUGCUGGACGGCCGCGAGCUGCGGGUGCAAAUGGCGCGCUACGGCCGCCCCCCGGACUCACACCACAGCCGCCGGGGACCGCCACCCCGCAGGUAUGGGGGCGGUGGCUACGGACGCCGGAGCCGCAGCCCUAGGCGGCGUCGCCGCAGCCGAUCCCGGAGUCGGAGCCGUUCCAGGUCCCGCAGCCGAUCUCGCUACAGCCGCUCGAAGUCUCGGUCCCGCACUCGCUCUCGCUCUCGGUCGACCUCCAAGUCCAGAUCCGCGCGAAGGUCCAAGUCCAAGUCCUCCUCGGUCUCCAGAUCUCGCUCGCGGUCCAGGUCCCGAUCUCGGUCCAGGAGUCCUCCGCCGGUGUCCAAGAGGGAAUCCAAAUCCAGGUCGCGAUCGAAGAGUCCUCCUAAGAGUCCUGAAGAGGAAGGAGCGGUGUCCUCUUAAGAAAAUGCUGCGGUCUCCUGUUUGAUAAAAGAAUAUUGGCCAGUAUUGCAGAUUUUAACUGAUUUGGCUGAUCCUCCAGGGACCAGUUUCUGUGGGCGUGUAUUGGAGCAGAUGUAUCGGCAAGCAGUGUAAACGGAGGACUUGGGGAAAAAGGACCACAUACUCAGUCCAUCGAAGAAGAGUCCUUGGAACAAGCAACUGGCUAUUGAAAAGGCGCAGUUGUGUAGCAGUUGAGUAAUGCUGGUUAGCUGUUAAGGUGGCGUGUUGCAGUGCAGAGUGCUUGGCUGUUUCCUGUUUUCUCCCGAUUGCUCCUGUGUAAAGAUGCCUUGUCGUGCAGAAACAAAUGGCUGUCCAGUUUAUUAAAAUGCCUGACAACUGCACUUCCAGUCACCCGGGCCUUGCAUAUAAAUAACGGAGCAUACAGUGAGCACAUCUAGCUGAUGAUAAAUACACCUUUUUUCCCUCUUACCCCUAAAAAUGGUAAAUCUGAUCAUAUCUACAUGUAUGAACUUAACAUGGAAAAUGUUAAGGAAGCAAAUGGUUGUAACUUUGUAAGUACUUAUAACAUGGUGUAUCUUUUUGCUGAUGAAUAUUCUGUAUUAUAACCAUUGUUUCUGUAGUUUAAUUAAAACAUUUUCUUGGUGUUAGCUUUUCUCAGAAUAUGUCCUGGUCUUUUCUUCCCCCAUUUAUUUGAAGGAACUAUGCAAUUUUGUGAUUGUUGCUGACUGCAUAGUAUGGAAGUGGACUGUUUAGUGCCUAUCAUUUCCUAAGUUAAAGUGGAAAUGCCAGUUGAACACCUAAAAGCAAUGCUUUAAUGUGGCACUUUUCUUGAGGUUGUGAUACCUCCUUCUCAACCUAAUUUAUAUCCUAUUUAAUGACAAAGGAACAAUCCAAGUACUUGUAAUAUGUAUUUUAAUUUUUGUUUCAUAUGAGUUAAAGUGUUGUCUAGGUGACAUCAAAAUCUGAUGCAAACAGACUUGACCAUCUUCAGACCCACUGCAUUCUCAAGCUGAAGUGGUCUGCUCAUAGUUUGUGUGCCAGGUUGCUCAACAGUACUGAUAUUGUCCCAGAACAGGUUGUAGGUGUAAUUCAGAGACUGUCCUUUGCAAAGGAAAUGACCAGCAUUUCAACUGUAUGUCUUCCUGGAAGGGCAGAUUCUGCUAUAUCUUCUUUGUCUGCAUCAAAAGAUUCCAGAGGAAUAUGGACACAUUUCAUAUCCCAUUUGUAGAGUAAAGCUUCAAGUGACCAGUCAGCACUUAAAAAAAAAAAAUAAAUGGUUUUUUUUAAAGUCA
Molecule: RNA transcript, 2207 nt
Organism: Macaca mulatta (Rhesus monkey)
Lineage: Eukaryota; Metazoa; Chordata; Mammalia; Primates; Cercopithecidae
Gene: SRSF2
Gene name: serine and arginine rich splicing factor 2
Source: RefSeq, marked provisional